This 681-nucleotide ribosomal RNA is filed under the name Pleurotus cornucopiae (cornucopia mushroom). Its description in RNAcentral is "eukaryotic LSU rRNA". The stretch from base 296 to 449 matches the Rfam family "5.8S ribosomal RNA". The record is from RNAcentral. Lineage: Eukaryota; Fungi; Basidiomycota; Agaricomycetes; Agaricales; Pleurotaceae.
CAUUUUGGGGAAGUAAAAGUCGUAACAAGGUUUCCGUAGGUGAACCUGCGGAAGGAUCAUUAAUGAAUUCACUAUGGAGUUGUUGCUGGCCUCUAGGGGCAUGUGCACGCUUCACUAGUCUUUCAACCACCUGUGAACUUUUGAUAGAUCUGUGAAGUCGUCCUUCAAGUCGUCAGACUUGGUUUGCUGGGAUUUAAACGUCUCGGUGUGACAACGCAGUCUAUUUACUUAACACACCCCAAAUGUAUGUCUACGAAUGUCAUUUAAUGGGCCUUGUGCCUAUAAACCAUAAUACAACUUUCAACAACGGAUCUCUUGGCUCUCGCAUCGAUGAAGAACGCAGCGAAAUGCGAUAAGUAAUGUGAAUUGCAGAAUUCAGUGAAUCAUCGAAUCUUUGAACGCACCUUGCGCCCCUUGGUAUUCCGAGGGGCAUGCCUGUUUGAGUGUCAUUAAAUUCUCAAACUCACAUUUAUUUGUGAUGUUUGGAUUGUUGGGGGUUGCUGGCUGUAACAAGUCGGCUCCUCUUAAAUGCAUUAGCAGGACUUCUCAUUGCCUCUGCGCAUGAUGUGAUAAUUAUCACUCAUCAAUAGCACGCAUGAAUAGAGUCCAGCUCUCUAAUCGUCCGCAAGGACAAUUUGACAAUUUGACCUCAAAUCAGGUAGGACUACCCGCUGAACUUAA